RNAcentral lists this long non-coding RNA (222 nucleotides) under Vigna radiata. RNAcentral describes it as "long non-coding RNA (VRAD_LNC014947)". The record is from RNAcentral. Lineage: Eukaryota; Viridiplantae; Streptophyta; Magnoliopsida; Fabales; Fabaceae.
GCUGUUGCACGAAUUUGCUUUUCUUUGGUCCCGAUUUUUGAUACAGGUUAUGCGAAGGAGAUGCGGCCAUGCGAGGAGCUUUGCGUCUUUUGGUUCAUGAUGAAGAUGAUGAUUUUUUGUUGUUGCUGCGGAGGCGUGAUUCUGGGUUGGUUUCUAUUUGCAAGUGAAUUUGGGCUUGAUGAUGAAUGUAGAACGGAGAUGCUUCCAUGGUUGACGUCCUGC